This is an RNA transcript of Prunus persica (peach), 2532 nucleotides long. It is a transcript of the gene named pentatricopeptide repeat-containing protein At5g43790, with no coding region annotated. Lineage: Eukaryota; Viridiplantae; Streptophyta; Magnoliopsida; Rosales; Rosaceae. The record is from RefSeq and is a predicted model, not a curated record. The transcript has a single exon.
AUAGUACCCUCCCACGGUACUGACCAGGGUUCGAUUCCCUGGAUGCGCAUUAAUUUUUUUUGACCAAUUUUUCCUCCGCUUCUAUACAAACAAAAAGAAUACAAAACCCUCCCUGUGCACACUGAAAUUUCGUUCGUCUUUGCUCUCUGUUCUCAGAUGAGAUGAGACCACUUCCGCCGCUCAGCUCAGCAACAAGUCGAGUUCUCUCUCUCCUCAGCAACUGCUCCUCUGCUACUCACAUCAACCAAAUCCAAACCCAACUCAUCCUCCUAAACCUCCACUCAAACACCACCAUUGCCUCCCACUUCAUCUCUGCCUGUCAAUCUCUUGGCCUCUUGGAUUUAGCCCACCUACACUUCCUAACUCAGCUUCCCAAACCCCAUGUUUUCAUUUGCAAUUCUCUCAUUAGAGCAUUCUCUCACUCCCACACUCCUCAUAAUCAGAUUCAUAAUCAUAUCCCUCUCUCUAUCUACGUCCACAUGCAUAAAAGCUCUAUUCUUCCCAAUAACUUCACCUUCCCUUUCCUUCUAAAGUCCCUAGCUGAUUCCCACGACUUCAAACAAGGGCAAUGCUUGCAUACCCAUGUCUUAAAAUUGGGUCAUCUCUAUGAUAUUUACGUGCAUAACUCGUUAUUGAAUGUCUAUGCAUCGUGUGGCCGUAUGGAGUUUUGUCGACAGGUGUUUGAUGAAAUGCCCCAGAGAGAUGUUGUGUCGUGGACGGUUUUAAUAAUGGGGUACCGGAACUCCGAGAAUUAUGAUGAUGCCUUGAUUUCUUUUGAACAGAUGCAAUAUGCUGGUGUGGUCCCCAAUCAUGUGACAAUGGUGAAUGCUUUAGCUGCUUGUGCAAAUUUUGGGGCCCUUGAGAUGGGUAUUUGGAUACAUGACUUUAUAAGGAGGAGUGGCUGGGAAUUGGAUGUUAUCUUGGGAACUUCUUUGAUUGAUAUGUAUGGAAAAUGUGGUAGGAUUGAAGAAGGUUUGGCUGUCUUCAAUAGCAUGAAAGAGAAAAACACUUUUACUUGGAAUGCACUAUUAAAGGGCUAGCUCUGCUAAAAAUGGCAAGGAGACAUUGGGUGGUUUAAGAGGAUGGAACAAGAAGGGAUCAGAGUAGAUGAAGUGACUUUGGUUUCGGUUUUAAAUGCUGUAGUCAUUCGGGGUUGGUAGAUAUCGGCAGGCAGAUUUUUCGUUCCUUGAGCGAUGGGAAGUAUGGAUUUUUGCCUGGGGUGAAACAUUAUGCUUGUAUGAUUGACCUGUUAGCACGUUCUGGGUAUCUUGAAGAUGCUUUGAAUUGCUUAAGAGAAAUGCCUUAUGAGCCUACUAAAGCUAUUUGGGGUUCAUUGCUGGCUGGUGGUAAAACUCAUGGGAACUUGGAAUUGAGCGAGUUUGCAGCUCGGAAGCUUGUUGAACUAGAGCCAGGGAGUAGUGCUUACUAUGUUCUGCUGUCUAAUAUUUAUGCAGAGAUGGGAAGAUGGAAUGAUGUUGAGAAAGUCAGGGGGAUGAUGAAACAGAGAGACCUUAAGAAAGACUCGGGCUGUAGUUCUGUGGAAUUUGAACCCUCUGACCAAGUUACUCAACUGUUAGCACAAUAAGUCGCAUUGUAUUUGCAAGGGAUUGGUUCUGUUCUAUUAUUGAAUUGGGUUGGGUUGUUUCCAUUUCACCGACUACAUCAAGUUUAGUGGAUGGCGAAUGCUCUGCUUGCAGCAUGGUUAUCUCUUGAAUUUUAGAUGAUGACAGUUGAGAUCAACUACUGGAUGGGCAAACACAAACUUCGGACACCAAAAACAGAUUGUAAAGGCAUAUCAAUCUUCAUACUGAGGAUGGAAGACAAGAACUCAAAGGCAUGCCACCACAACACCAGCAGCAGCAGAAGAGUCUUGUCCAACUAUUUAUUGAAAAGGAAAAUCAAGGGCAUAAAUGAAGCCAAAAUACAUGGAAUUAUUGAAGAUACAUGACUGUUGAUUAGCCAGCAACAGCAGUCUUUUACUACUAGCUUCGCAUGGCAAUGACCUUAUUCCAAGCUGGCCUUGCAGUGAUAUCAGCUACCCAUGCGCUAACAUGGGGCCGGGAUUCGAACAGCUUCUUCGAUUGUGUUCCCAUCAAGUAAUUUAUGGUUGGAAGGUGGUGAAGAUCUGCCAAGGUGAAGCUGUCACCUCCCAAGUAUUUCGACUGAGCCAGACGAGCCUCAUAAACAUCAAGAACCGCAGCCAACUUGGCUUCAUAUUCCUCCACAACUGCCGAGUCUGUGGGCAUGCCAAGCAGCGGCUUUAUGCCUAGCUCCCAGGUCAGUUUUGAGGCUGCCGGGUCGAACUUUUGACCCUCCACCUCCGUCCACACUGAUAGAAUUGCCAUCUUCUUUGAGUCUCGGAUCACUAGCUGGGUUCCCUUGUCGAAAUACUCAUGGGCAAUGUAUUGUGUAAUUGCCCUUGAUUCUGCAUAUCAGAAGGUGCACACUUUAAUACAAGUUACACAAAUUCAUAUUUCAUGUAUGCUGUGUAUGAAUUUGAUGUGAGUGAGCUAAACACAAAAACUUACCAAA